This 1231-nucleotide ribosomal RNA is filed under the name metagenome. RNAcentral describes it as "bacterial LSU rRNA". It matches the Rfam family "Bacterial large subunit ribosomal RNA", at positions 1710 to 2925 of the family's 2925-position model. The record is from RNAcentral.
GAACUCGCAAAUUGACACCGUAACUUCGGGAGAAGGUGUGCCGCUGGCGGUUAGUGACUUCGCGUCACGAAGCUGUUGGUGGUCGCAGUGAAAUGGCGGUUGUGACUGUUUACUAAAAACACAGGACUCUGCGAAGUCGUAAGACGACGUAUAGGGUCUGAUGCCUGCCCGGUGCUGGAAGGUUAAGGGGAUAUGUCAGCGCAAGCGAAGCAUUGAACCGAAGCCCCAGUAAACGGCGGCCGUAACGAUAACGGUCCUAAGGUAGCGAAAUUCCUUGUCGGGUAAGUUCCGACCUGCACGAGGGCAUAACAACAUCCGCACUGUCUCGACCAGGGACUCAGCGAAAUUACAUUGGGGGUGAAGAUGCCCUCUACCCGCGGAAAGACGGAAAGACCCCAUGAACCUUUACUGCAACUUGGCAGUGAUUUUCGGGUUGUUCUGCGUAGGAUAGGUGGGAGGCUUUGAAGCCGGGCUUCCGGGUUCGGCAGAGCCAACGUUGAAAUACCACCCUGUAUAAUCUGGAAAUCUAACCUGCGCCCAUGAUCUGGGCGAGGGACACUGCCUGGUGGGCAGUUUGACUGGGGCGGUCGCCUCCUAAAUUGUAACGGAGGCGUGCGACGGUUCCCUCAGGCUGAUUGGAAACCAGCCGUAGAGUGCAAACGCAUAAGGGAGCUUUACUGCGAGACUGACAAGUCGACCAGUUGCGAAAGCAGGUGUUAGUGAUCCGGUGGUACCACAUGGAAGGGCCAUCGCUCAUCGGAUAAAAGGUACUCUGGGGAUAACAGGCUGAUCGCGCCUGAGAGUUCACAUCGGCGGCGCGGUUUGGCACCUCGAUGUCGGCUCAUCGCAUCCUGGGGCUGGAGCAGGUCCCAAGGGUUUGGCUGUUCGCCAAUUAAAGCGGUACGCGAGCUGGGUUUAAAACGUCGUGAGACAGUUUGGUCCCUAUCUUCCGUGGGCGCAGGACACUUGAGAGGAGCUAUCCAUAGUACGAGAGGACCUGGAUGGACGAACCUCUGGUGCUCCGGUUGUCACGCCAGUGGCAUAGCCGGGUAGCCAUGUUCGGAACAGAUAACCGCUGAAGGCAUAUAAGCGGGAAGCUGGCCUCAAGACUAGGUGUCCCUGACGCAAGUCACUAAAGGCCCCUCGAAGACUACGAGGUUGAUAGGCUCGGUGUGGAAGCGCUGCGAGGCGCGGAGCUAACGAGUACUAAUAGGCCGUGAGGCUUGACCCC